UUAUAGAGGUCUAAAUCCAAAACUAAGUAGGAAAAUAACUUAAAAGACCUAAACUAAUUAGGACUGGACUUUAAAAGUCCUAAACUAAAUAGGAAUAACGUUUAAUUGACCUAAAUUAAAUAAGAAACAAAAAUACAGGUAUCUAGGAGAAUAUAGAGUCCAAUUAGAGUUAGAAUUAGUUAGAAGUCCUUAAAAAUCUGAAAAAACAGACUUGACAAAUCUGAGACAGCCUAUGACAUGCCCUGGGCAUGUCUUUAUGCUGUAUUACAUGCCCCAAGCCUGUAGUAUUCUGUCCACUUUUCAGAUGCCCCAUCACACAGUAGACAGACAAAUACAAA
RNAcentral lists this unclassified non-coding RNA (338 nucleotides) under Hevea brasiliensis (rubber tree). The record is from RNAcentral. Lineage: Eukaryota; Viridiplantae; Streptophyta; Magnoliopsida; Malpighiales; Euphorbiaceae.